Molecule: ribosomal RNA, 468 nt
Filed under: uncultured bacterium
Lineage: Bacteria
Description: partial 16S ribosomal RNA
Rfam family: Bacterial small subunit ribosomal RNA
Source: RNAcentral
GAUGAACGCUGGCGGCGUGCUUAACACAUGCAAGUCGAACGGAAAGGCCCUGCUUUUGUGGGGUGCUCGAGUGGCGAACGGGUGAGUAACACGUGAGUAACCUGCCCUUGACUUUGGGAUAACUUCAGGAAACUGGGGCUAAUACCGGAUAGGAGCUCCUGCUGCACGGUGGGGGUUGGAAAGUUUCGGCGGUUGUGGAUGGACUCGCGGCUUACCGGCUUGUUGGUGGGGUAGUGGCUUACCAGGGUUUUGACGGGUAGCCGGCCUGGGAGGGUGACCGGCCUCAAUGGGACUGAGGUACGGCCCAGACUCCUACGGGAGGCAACAGGGGGGAAUUUUGCGCAAUGGGCGGAAGCCUGAGACAGCGGCGCCGCGUGCGGGAUGACCGCCUUCUGGGUGUAAACCGCUUUCGCCUGUGACGAAGCGGGAGUGACGGUAAUUGGUAAAGAAGCACCGGCUAACUACGUG